UGGGGAAUAUUGCACAAUGGGCGAAAGCCUGAUGCAGCAACGCCGCGUGAGUGAUGAAGGCCUUCGGGUUGUAAAGCUCUGUCUUUUGGGACGAUAAUGACGGUACCAAAGGAGGAAGCCACGGCUAACUACGUGCCAGCAGCCGCGGUAAUACGUAGGUGGCAAGCGUUGUCCGGAUUUACUGGGCGUAAAGGAUGCGUAGGCGGAUUUUUAAGUGAGAUGUGAAAACCCUAAGCUUAACUUGGGGACUGCAUUUCAUACUGGAAAUCUAGAGUGCGGGAGAGGAGAAUGGAAUUCCUAGUGUAGCGGUGAAAUGCGUAGAGAUUAGGAAGAACACCAGUGGCGAAGGCGAUUCUCUGGACCGUAACUGACGCUGAGGCAUGAAAGCGUGGGUAGCAAACAGGAUUAGAUACCCUGGUAGUCCACGCCGUAAACGAUGAGUACUAGGUGUAGGAGGUAUCGACCCCUUCUGUGCCGCAGUUAACACAAUAAGUACUCCGCCUGGGAAGUACGAUCGCAAGAUUAAAACUCAAAGGAAUUGACGGGGUCAUAGCUGUUUUCC
Molecule: ribosomal RNA, 562 nt
Filed under: uncultured bacterium
Lineage: Bacteria
Description: partial 16S ribosomal RNA
Rfam family: Bacterial small subunit ribosomal RNA
Source: RNAcentral